Molecule: ribosomal RNA, 60 nt
Filed under: uncultured bacterium
Lineage: Bacteria
Description: partial 16S ribosomal RNA
Source: RNAcentral
CAGACGCGUGGGCUAACCGCAAGGAGGCAGCCGUCAAAGGUCAAUUCAGUGACUGGGGCG